CUUGAAGUUGAAGUUGAAAAAACAGUUUGAUUCCCAUUCUGAGACUCACAGAGGUAAAGAUAGAAAGAGGUUCAUCACUCUGAGGGACUGAGCAAGCAAACUGUUAAACAAUUUCACAAUCUCAUUUCUCAGCAUUAAACUGUAAAGCAUGUGGGGAUUUCAUCAACUGCAGUGCAUGAUUUCAUGAAAAAAUUCAGAGACAUGUCUUUACAAAAGGGAAAAGGCAGAAAACCAGUACUGGAUAGCUGUGAUUUUCAGGCUCUUGGGUGGUACUGCACUUCAAACAGACAUCACUCUGUGAUGGAAAUCACCACAAUUGUACCAUGCUAAGAGGAAAACAUAUGUAAAAAUGACCAAUGAAUUAAUGCGACUUCCUUUAGCCUGUCCUUUUUAAAAUGAACUGCGGUGAAAUGAAAAACUGUCCUGUGGUCAACUGUGCGAAGAGUCAAGAUUUCACACAUUUUUGGAAAUUGUGGAUGCUGUGUCUUGUGGUCUAAGACUGACAGGGACAGCCCUGAUUGUUAUCAGUGCACAGUUCAAAGGACAGAAGUGCAGAAGUGCCCUUGGCAUGGUUAGCUCAUCCACAUCUUAUUUACAUUUACACAUAUACAGGUUUUGGAGCUGCUCCAGACAAUCCUGCAAUACACACAAUGCCUUUUUUGGGUGCCAAACUGCAUUGCACAUGUAUUACAACAGCAUGGCUCUGAAGAGUCUGGGUGCUAAACUGGCCUGCCUGCAGUACUUGUCACCAAGUGGAUACACAACAAAACUGUUAAGCAGCCGAAAUCCUCUCCGGCAAGAAUAGUACAACGUUUCACUCUCCAGACUCCAGCGACCAGGGUCCUUGGUUCACAAAUGUUUGCAGAGGUUUGUUAAAAGAAGAGGUGAUGCAACAGGACAGUAAACAUGCAACUUUUUUAGAAAGUGUUACUGGCAUCAAAUUUAAUUUGAUGCCAGUAAGAAUUUAUUGAUUAAUGAUUUUUUUUUCAACAUUAUAUAUGUUGUUUUUGCACUAUUUUCAAUCAAAUGAAGGGUUUAAAUGAUUUACAAACCAUUAAAAUCUCUUUUAAUCAAGAUUUUUUAGCAUCCCAUCUCUUUGAAAUUGGGGCUUUGACACCAAAUAAAACGUAGUGCUUUUCUGUAACUUCUGUGACUUUCUUUUUUUCUCAAAAAUGCUGAUUGCGUUUGUCCUUGAAGAUGUAAGUGUGACAGUUCAUGAAAACACCGAGGUGACGACGAUCACUCUGGCAGAGAAGGGGUUAAAACACUGGGGUUUAUAUACAGAUCAGACUAAUUGCUUUAGAGACACAGGCGUUUAAGAGAAAAGAUGAGAAAGAGAACGAUGGCGGGGAGUAACACCGGAAACAACACAAAACCACCAGGAUUACAGGCUCUACAAAACAUAUAAAAACAUACAGAUUUGGCAUAAAAUUAUAAUAAAGAACACAAGUUUAUUUUUAUCUGCAUUCAGAGCAAGUUGCAGCUGAGAAAGAUGAUCUUUCUUGACUUAAAUUCAUAUUGAAAAUCCUCAAAAAUUUUGAAAAGAAAAGGAAGAUUUAAAUUUUUUUUAGGACAAUUAACAAAUAAUAGCAGUGAGCCCAAGACAGAGCCCUGAGACACAGCUUUGUGGAUUCUUGGUACUGGAUCCUGGUUUUCUUCUGGAUGAUUGUUAUCAACUCACUGGCUGUGAUCUGAAAAUCCAGUAGUUAGACAACAUUACUUGUUAUCUAAUUCAUAUGUUGUGUCAUGGCAGCGAUAGUAGUAAUGUGGUUAAUAAUUUCUAUAUUGGAGCCUUUUGUUGUUCAAGACAGCAGAGUCCUCAUCACACUACAUAGGACAUCAAUUCUUUAUAAGAGUCAUGACUAAUAACGUGAUACAAAGACUCCGCUGUAAGAUUUAUAUUCUUAAUUAAGGGUGCCUGACAGGACAUCAAAGUCUGAAUCCCUGUGGCAACUGUCAUCUCCUGAGGCAUUAAAAAAUAUUUGUUUAAUGAUUAUUCAUAAAUUUAGUAAUUAAAAGUCCUCACAGAUUUGAUAGAUAAGUUUCUGCUGCUUUAAAAAUGCCCAGAAUUAUUGGAUUAAUUCAAGUCAACACAUCGCAGUGGGACUGUACUCCCUGGCUCCUCUGAAGUCCUCCCUAACAGCAUUUAAUGACCUGUGCAUUUGAAAGCCUCCUCUCAGCAGGUUGACUUUGUUUGGAUUGGAGGACCUUGCUGUUUGUACGAGGGACCGCUCCUCAGCCUUUGAGGGCUUACUUUUCCAAUCCAUUUAACAAAUACCUUUUUUCUACACUCAGUGAACUUACACAACCACUUCAAGGAAAACACUCAUCAUGAGCCAAAUCAAAAAUCAAAUUCCUGAAAAUUAAAUAAUAUCUGCUUCUUUAACACCACUUUUCGCACUAACAUGCUCAGUGAUCCGCAGGAGUUACUGUGGUUUCACAGCUUGGUGAGGAGUUGUUAAAGUGCAACCAAGUAGCAAGAUAUUUCUGAAGUACACUGUUCAAGCUCCAGAGACCUAGCAGGCCAAAAAUAAAGGUGAAUCACCAUGUUAUAUUCCUGCCAUAAAUUGUAAAAAAAAAAAAAUGUUCCCUGUGUGCAGUCCCAAAAUCGCUAGCACAGUGAGAUUUCUCAGCCUGAGUGUGCAGAGGUGCUUUCAGCCCUCAGUGAACUCGCCUUUAUCUAUCAUGGCUUCUUUACGAGCUUCUGCGCCAUGCUUUUCCUUUUACAGAUCCAUUGAGUGGACUGAGUCAGUCAUGGCAAGCAUUAUGUAAUUCCAAUCAAUCUGAGUUAUAAAAUCUUGACAUAGGCCGAGGCUGGGCUACAGACUACUGCUGAAAUUUACAGCUGUUUAGAUUGCAAGUCACUUCCCUGUGGCCUGUGUAUACACACUCUGCAUCUGCCUUCUAGAGCCGAGGGGAAAUAAAACUCUGCCCAUGAGAGACUUCAGAUCUGAGUUUUACUCUCUGUCUAAAGCAAUCAUGAAUGAUUGGGUGCAUUUACAGCAUUAGAUUGCUUUAAUUUUCAGGAGUCUGCUGUAACUGCAAGGAAAAAGGAAGAGGGGGAGCUCACUGCAGCUCUUUUAAGAGAAAACAUUCCUGAUGUGUUUAAAAAAAGAUGAACAAACCAGCCAAGGGAUGUUAGCCUCUGCAGCUGUAGGUGGCAGCAGAGACUGCUCCUCCUCUGAAGAAGAAGACUGAUUACUAUUCACAGCACUAACCAGGGUACAUAUCAGCCCAACACAUACAUAAAUCGAUUCAGUUUAAUGUAAACCCACGGUUGCAUAGAAUGAAAUAUUUACUUGUGUGUGACACUCCUCUGCAGCCUGAGUGUGUCUGUUAUUGGAUGGAGCUGGAUGCUUCUGUCAUCACCUUGAACUGCGUUAUCUCUCUGCAUGUUUUUCAUGGCACCACUAAGUUUACCAUCCACAUCCAAAAUGGCUCAAGAUGAAUUCAUGACUCACAUCCAGGACGCAGAAGAAUAAAACUCGUGUUUGUUUUCGGCACACAUCCUGCCGAAUAAUCUCACUUUGGAAGACUGUUUACGUCUGCAGAGGACUCCUGCUCCAUUUAUGCUUUCUUUAAUGUACUUUGUCAUUAAGACUAUCUCUACGAGCGCUUCACAUCUCUUAAGGAUGCACUCACGCCUUUCAUAAUGUGUGUUAAUCUACUCAACAUUUGUUGUUAACAUAUUUGUUUAAGUGAUCCUUUAUCCUCUGUAUACAUAAUACACAGACUGGGGGCUUGUCUAUAGUCUGCUGAUGGAACUAUCCUUUGGGUAUCAUAACGGAUGUGCUUGAAUUAAAGACAUUAUGCUAAUUGUACAUACAGAGUGCUCAGAGCGAUUCUCCAUCUUCUUUAUGCAUGCAGACUUAAUUCAAUGAAUCUGUGGGAGAGCACUUUCACCAAUGGGUGAACUCGAUAUACAGCACCUGAACGUAAGCCAAGCUAUACAGAUUAACAACGUGACAUACUGGAAGCAAUAUUACAAUUAUGUCAUAGCAAUUUGUUAAACUGUCUCAAGGCUGACUGCACGAGCGGAGGGAUAACUUAUGGGUUUUGUGUGGCUGCAUGUCUGUGAGUGUGCUUGUCUGUGAAGUUGCUCCUUACAGGAAUAGGUUGCCUGUAAUUCUUUUAUUUGUCAAUUUUUGGCAGUUAUAAAAACACAUCCCAGCUGGCUGCCUGCCUGCACAAUUGCCUGCUAUUAAUGUUGAUGCAUAAUUGCAUUACAUAAUGUGUUGUGCUGUUUUUUAGUGGAGUCAAACAGCUGUGGCUGUUGGCUGUCCAUGCUGCACAAAGUCAAGUGCUCUCCCCUCCUUCCCUGCUCCAUACCAGCCCAAUCAGAAAUGGGAGCUGUCACAGGUCACUGUCAAUUGUAAGCUGUAUCAGUGCGGCUUUUGAAACUGUUACAGAGCUCCAAUUUAGUUUGUCAGUGAAUGGUAAGAUUUUAAGUGCACAGGGAUUUGAUUCAUUCAUAUUCCUUUAUCAGACGGCAGCUAAUUCAAACACAGUAGUCGUACAAUGUCAUAAGUGACAGACAGAGAAAUCAAUCUCUGUUGUAGAGGGAGAGAGGAUGGUGGAGAGUUGAGGAUUUUCUACGACAAGCUCUGCCUGUCGGCUCCCCAGCAGAUGGUGGUGCAGCAUCGCAGAGGAGCCUCUCCCAGAGCAGGAUGAAAAUGGUGCAGAAGAUGAGGUGUCUGAAAAUGAACGCUGCAGAAAUUGAGGUACGAAGCUUAAUGAAAUAAUAGGGUCAUAUCUUACCUACACCAUCAUUGUACAAGGCAGCACAUUUUUAUAAAACUGACAGCAGUAUAUCUUUCAACAUCUCCCAUAUGGUGUAGCCAGGGGGACGAUUAAAAGUGGAGCACAUUGAUAGCCUGGGUGCAGAGGACGUAUGUGCGUGUGGUUGCAGUUUUGAAUCCAGUCACUUACGUAAAUGAAUCCAGGAUUGAAAGCAAUCAUAAUAUUCAAACUGCAGAUUAAAUACUUGACAUGGCAGGAGCUAAGACAUGCAGUUGGGUUUACAGAGAGCAAAGAAGGAGCAAAGCAAAAUAUCAAACGUGCUUACAUGUGAUAAGUCAGACGUGUUUACACUGGCUUCAUUUGCAUCACAAAGAGCAUAUUUGACAGUGGGAUUUGUGAUUUUUGUGUCAUCAUACAUUGCUUUGUUGUGCAGCACUGGCAGGUGAUAUCACAAGCAUUGCGGUGCUCUCUCUACCUGUUACAAGGCUGAAACACUUUGCAAUUUCAGAUUUAGCGUUUUCAUAUUUUCCAGGCAGUAAGUGCAUUUUGAAGAGAGAUCAAACUCGCUGAUUUAUCUGAGUUUCAAAUUGCUUCUGCCCCUCAACUCAAAGUCAAGUAUUGUUUCUGUGCCAUAUUGGUUGCCUUUGGGAAAUAUCUGGGCUGUCUUUAGCUCUAUAUUGGAUGGGCGCGGAUAGAUUCUCACUCUGAAAAGGGAUGGAGGAAAGAGCGGUGAAGGGAGUUUGUCACACUGUAGAAAAAGCAUAAAGAUGUGGAAAAAAAAGUGACCAUCUAUUACAUUACAUGAUUUUCUGUGCUCACAGAAGAAAGCGGGAUGACAUGCUCUGCUGAUGGAGGUCAUGGGGCCAAAUUUACUGACAUGGAAAGAGGAGUUUUAAGGUAAAACAUAUCUUGCCAUGCAUGUUCUGACAUGAAAUAUCAGUGCUGCAGAUGUCAGACAUGAGUUCUGAGGCUGAGUGCAUCCUUUGAAGUCGUGCAAAAUGGCUCUCAUCAGAUGAGAGCUGUGCAGACUGAGACAUCCAGUGUAUAAAAAAUGCUGUGAUUGGAAACCUGGUAAGCUAAUGAGUUUGCACUUCUAUCUUCUCAAUUUGUACAGGCUUUUGUGCCAAGGCCUUUGAGGCUUGUCUGUGCCAAGUCUUGUAAUAGUGUUCUCAUUGUUCGCCUGAGAAUCUGACACUUUUUUUUCAUGAAACUUAGGGGGAAUCCAUCUCAAAACUUUUUCACAUGGGAAAGACAAGAAGGCCCGAGAAAAUUGCUGUGAAUUAUGGAUAUUGCUGCAGUGAAAUUAAGAUGACAAAGAAGUAGAGGAAAAAAAGGAAUCCUGUCUUAAAAGGCUCUGAAGAGGGAUAUUUCACAACUGCAUCUGAGCUGCAAUGCGGCGUAACAAGUCAUGAGUAGUUCUAGUUAAAAAAUUAUGAAGUUACAUUCCUCUUUUUCACUUUCUGUGUGCUGGCUGAAACCCUGCUUUUUAGUGGCAACAAACAUCUUUAACUAUUAGCAAGUAGCCUGUGAAAUUAUGUGUACACUAGCCUCUUGUUUUCCUGUCACAGUUUUUGCGAUAAAAGUGAAAUAAUUUAGCUCCAGUUGCUUAGCGCUCAUCUCCCUCCCUCUUCCUCUCUCAGUCUCCCUCCCUCUCUCUCUCUCUUUCUCUCUCUGCCUGCCCCUGACUUUCUGCUUUGGUUUGCCUCUGCCUUGGCAAACCGCAUAACUAUCAGAUAAAUGAGCUACAAAUGAGAAAGGGGUUGCUUCACUUGGGAGUUGUUCAAAUUAUUGGGAGGCCACUGACCACAGUGCUUAUUUGAGCUUAAGAUGCAGGCUGUUGAGAUUUGCUGGGAGCAAAUCUAGAGGCUGGUUGAGUCUUCAGGCAUGUCCAAUCCGAUCCAUUCAACCAUUAAUGCCCGAGAGUAGACCAGGGGAAACAUUACAGCCCUCAGAUCGACUCGGAGCACUGCGACCAGGGUCCCUUUUCCUCCUUAAACUCACUACUCCCUGUCCUCUCAUCAGGCUUAGUGAAAAUUUAGUUAUUCUUACACAUGACAAGACAGAACAGAACAUUCCCUCCUCUUCACUUCUUUUCUUUUUUUUUUUUACUUACUAGUGAACACUCAGCACUUUUGCUUUUUAAUUAUAGCUACCCUUGUUGUAAUAACCAGCUGUCCAGAGAGUUAGAAAUAAUCACACAGCACUAAACAAACAGAGUACAGUGCUACAUUACGCAUUGUAUUAUGUAUGUGGAUUUUCUUUUUCUUUUCUCACUCACAGAUACACAAAGGGUCAAAGUGCUGAAGAAAAACACUUUGAAACUAGCAAAUGAGAUACUGCAGAGUAAAAUUAUAACAAAUGUGUCUGUAUACGGAUAGAAAAAUUCUCCAUACAUUCAGGGGUACAGUGCAAUCAGACUACACAUCUCUGUUGCUCUGUAACGCACAGACACACACACACACACACACACACAUACAUAAAUGCACACAGUAAUUCUAUGAGGCUCAAGGUUGUCGUGCUUAUUGAAUAUAUCAACUUAACCACUUAUGUCAUUGAUCAAAAAGCCAAUUCCACUUCUAUUAUUGUGUUAGAGGGUAAAACAAUUGCCAAAUGACUUUGUGAGGUGCACUCACUUGGUAAACAGAUCUGAGAUCCAUUAAAGCCUUGGAGAUUAUCAAGCCUCAGUCCAACAAUUUGUGGAGAUUGCUCUGAACACCUUGCUGCUGACCUUCCUCAUCCAGUUGAAAGUCAAUGGGAAACGUGGCAAGGAGCCCGCCAGCGCCACAAGCAGCCCCUUCACUUUAAUUACACCGUACCUCAAUGGCUGGAGAUAUCUUUGCACCCCCCCCCCCCCCACACCCCCCAACCCUCCACCUGCCUCCUACCUACAUCCAUGUGUCACUAUUGAUACCUCAAAGCCACCAAUACAGUCCAGAUGUGCCACAGCUGUAAUAUCCCCUGGACACCUCUUGACAGGCUCAAUCAGAGGACUCCGUGAUAGAUAAGGCAAAGCAUGAACUUACAUCUCAUCAAUAUUAAUCUCUGGACUUUACUCCAUGCUGCGCUUUGUGGUUUACUGUGGCUGCCUCCCUCUGACCUCUGAGUGAGGCACAGGGAUGUUUUCCCUGUGCUUAAUCAUAAUGCACAGUGCCUCCUGCAUUGAUAGGUUAAUGUACCCGAGAGGAUCAAUGCAGUCUCGAGGACGUCUAGUACAACAGACGUUUAAAGGUUCGGGGAAAGGCUGUAACAAUGAGUGCGGUCUGUCUAUGUUAGGAACAGCGUGACGCUUAAUUAAAUGAGAUUGUGUAAGGUCUAGUGACUGGUGUGAUGACUUUCUGUAGAUAAUUGGCCAAACGGAUGCAAAUGCAACCGAGCACUCAUUAAAAGCACAUAAAUAAUAAUUUAUACACAGAUAUCUGAGAUCUUACCCCUAAAGAUCAGCAUGAGUUCAGAAAAACAGGCACGGUAACGAGUGUUUGGAACCUAAAGGUGCUAAAGCAGAUUAAACUCAAAGCUGUCUUGAUGUGGUUAUAUAAUGUCCCAUUGAUAUUCAGGAUAUUUGAAGAUAUCUGCGCAAGAUCACUGAAUAACACUGACUGGCAUGAGAUCAACAGUCAGAGCAUUUUUGUUCUGGUAAUCUCCAUAAAACUUUAUGCAAAUCUGUGUGGAAAAAAAUGGAACGGCUUUUUGCCUCGUACAGAAAAACUCAGCAGUAAUUGAAAAACAAGUCACAAACUAUUUUUAUCCCUCUGUGGCAAGAUAAUGCUUUCACUGUGGAAUUUGGGGGCGUGUAGUAUUAAAACAUGAGAAAGUUUAGCUCUUUUUUUUACUUUUUCAAAGCACCUGGGUUACUGUAUCUUUGUCCUCUGAAGGGGAAAAGCCUCAGCAUGGAUAGAGAGAAAAACAUUUGCUUCCAAUGAAUAAAUAAUGAAAGGAAACGAGGUGCUUGCACUAAUUUGCAAAGCAUAAAACGCAGAAAAUUUCACAGAGUUUUAAGCCAAGGUUUUUGGGGGAUCGUUUACCUCACGGCAGGGUGCUACAACAUGCAGCCAAAUAUAGAAACACUUUUAGCAGGAAACUUUAAAAAAUGUAGAGUACUUGUCGGUAAAUGAAAUGGAAAACAUUGUAGAAAUCUUUUUAUUUCUAAGGGCUGGCACUGAAUCUGGAUGUGUGCUACAAAGAGUAUGUUUAAAUAGUCACAUAAUCUAGAGAGUAACAUAUAAAGAGAGAGAUUGCUCUCUGGUUUCAGUUCGUGUUUACUCUUAUCAUUGUCAAAGUCACAUGUUCAGACUCACUGUACAAAUGUCAGGCUUCCGUACGCUUACUUUGAUCAAAUCUUGUAUCUUGACAGUUAAGCUCUUCCGCUGCUGCAGGGCUGAUGAAGACACUCCUCAUUCCGUUUACACAGGACCACUGAGCAUCUGCACGCCAAUUGUCUCUUUUAUUUCCAGGUGUCUGGCAGCUAUAGCAGAGCUUUACGGUCCAAGAAAGCUGCUGUCUUCCCUUUGGAAGGAACCUGAAAGCAAACAGUCGUGUGCCAGUGUUUGGUCAGAGCAACAUAGUCAUUUAUCUCUAGAGGACAAUCCAUACAAUCAAAAUAAAGAUGUCGAGUGUGGUCGGUGCAGAAUAAUAAUUAGGAUGUAUCCCUGGGCAUGUGUCCCAGCAGUGGUUCCCACCUGUGGUACCAGCUUGAGCAGAUCUGAGAUCAUUCACCUGCAGCAUUACACGAUCUCCCACUGAAUAAGUGCUUUGUUCCUGCUCUUUGGUGCUGAGAAACACCUUAUUCUCAGCACUAUCUGUGGAGGAAAUCCUGAUAAUGUGGAGGUAAACAUUCAACAUUCUCUACUUGGCAGGGUUUUGAGUGAGCAGAAUAAAUAAUAAGAGCAAUGAUCCGUCCCACAUGGAAAAUUAUUUGUGACUGUGAAGUAUUACAUCACUUAACGGUAAGACUUAGGGGGAAAAAAAAACUUAAUUAGCGCCUCCAGAGAGCAGAAACAGAUCCAAGAUUUCAAGGGUAACACUCAGCCAAAAUCUCAGCCAAUAUAUUAUCUCUCACAUUAGUCGGGACCCUGCUGCAGGAAAUGGCUCUUUUCAUUUGGAGAUAUACAAUAUGGCAGCCGCUGAAUAAAUGUGAGUCCUGGUCGUAAGCCCAAAUAUUUUCCAUCUCUAAUUUACUUAGCUGCCAUCCAGCCACUCAUACAGUGUUUUCACUCAAGUUGGGCUUGUUUCAUGCCGCUAUUAUGUAUCCAUGGCCACACUUUUCAUCAGGAAUUAGACAGAGAAGACAUCUCUGCUUUCUAUUUCUUUUUUUUUUUUUUUUUGGCUGACUUGCUAGAGAGCGUGAGGGCCUUUCAAAGAGCGACUCCUUUGACUUAGAUGCGUUUCAAACUUCUGAAAAGCUCUGGGGUGCAGCCGAAGGUCUUAAUUGGCAUGUGAUUGCCUGUCAUGAGUCAUCACAGGAAUGCUGGAUACCUUUCAAAGACGGUCGCUGUGUGCAAACACACGGAUCCAACAGAUGGCAACAUUGUUCCUCCAUCACCAGAACAGGUUAGUUGGCAAUCUGCCAGCGAGGUACGGGUGCAUCGACAAACCCUCCAAAAUAAAAACAGCCAUCAAAUACAAGAGUGGGCGAUGACGAUGUGACUAAUUGUUGCCAUGGUGAUCUGGUCUUUGAGAUAACGUCUAACGGUGAGGGAAAAGGAGCAAGCGGCACAGAGAGGGGAGGAGAGAAUGAGAAAGAAAAAGGGAAAAAAAGAGAGGAGGGAGAUAAAGAGGAUGAAAGAAAAAGGAGGGCUAAUGUUCCACGUGGGAGAGCAGAAAGGAGAGAAAUGACCCUGUACUAUGAGGUCAACUCAAUGUCUCCCAGUCAAUUCAGGGAUGUAAAUACCUUUGGGUUCAUUUACGCAAGGACUGGCCUUCAUCCUCAGGGAGCAGCACUUCUCAUCUCACAGUAACUAGUGUUCAAAAUGAGCUUCAAACCAACAUAGGGCUCCAUCAUCAAGGUUACUGCUAGUAAGGAUGGAGUCUGCUCUUUUUGAGGAGCCAUGCCUGUCAAAAAAAAAAAAGACAUGUUUUGUAAAACGUUUGUAACAGGAAAGGAAAAGUAGGCCUAUCCAAAAUAAUUAUAGUCUGGAACAAAAAGCCCUCUUAAACAAAUCUUCCUUUAGUGAAAAAUUACACGCUUUUGUAUUUGUAGCUGAGGAAAUUGGGUUUUAAACAGCCAUGAAUCGCAGUUUACAGGCUCUGCUCUCCCUUCAGUCACCUGCAGGAUCCUUUCAUCAGGCUUUGUCUACGUGUGCUGUUUGUGUGCUCCAGCAGCGUUAUCCUACAGCGAGUGCCGAGUCAGUGUCUGUGUUAAUGUUGUGCCAGAAAGAGCCGCCUGGCCGCAGACUGUUGCAUCAGCCUUUCCUUUUGUUUAACAGGACAAUGAAGAUUGGAUGCUAGUGAGCACAAGACAGAGCGGGUGUGAGAGGGAAAAAUAGAGAGCAUGAAAAGACAGAGGCUCUUCAUUUCAACAGCAUAACAUCAUCUCUCUUUGUUGAAAAAUCUGAAUAAUCCAGUUUUCCCCAUGGUCAAGGUCAGCUCUUUAAUAAGGCAGAUAUAAAUCACUGCAGGGUUUGCAUUUCCCCUCCGUGCUAUCUGAGACCCUGCAGCACUGUUGUGUUAUGUUUUAUCACAUGGGAGCUGCCAAACUAUGCUGAGCCGGAGCUUGUCACAGCGCUGUGUGUCAUAUGACAACCUGCUACCUGCAAUAGUUUCCACUGGGGCUGAGCGAUAAGAGGAGGGGUGUAGAUAAGGUGUCUCCCAUUCUGGAUGUGCCAGGAGCUCCAGCCUUUUACAAGGGAGGUGCUGAUCUUUUUUUAAAGAACUGUUAGGAUUGCUGGGAAAAAAAGAGCUGGGAUUUGUUUUCCACAGCAGCAUGAACCACCACUUCACUGGAGUGUCUGGUGUCACUCAUAAAAAUGUCAUUAGCAGGAGUUUCCACUUGCCAUCACUGCCAUCUUUUUUUAGUGACGCUGGGUGGAAAGCAGCCACCACUGUAUGUGACUAAUCAUCACUCACGCCUCCGACUGUGGUGCGCCUGAUAACGACGAGGAGCCGUGGAUUUGUCUCCACUCCCACGCGGGCUGUUGCUAAAUGACAGUGAAGUGACGAGUCCCGACGAUUCUGACAUGAUACACGUCGUCUUUCGCCACCCAAAAUUCGUCAGUAUGAGUCGUCGAUGUGAAACUUGUCACCGUGCUCUCGCCAAUCAACACAUCAUGACACGAAAAAAAGAUGACCUCAUUUGCUGCUCCCUAAGAUGUUUUUAAUCUGAGUUUCUAUUUUUGAUCCUAAAUGCAGGAAAGUUGAUUGUAAACGGGUCUUCCUUUGUGAUUUUUGACCUGUACUGCAGUCCUGAGUGUCCUCUCUGUGCUCCCUCUGUUUACAGGACAGUUUGUCUCUGGGGCAGCCUCUGGGCAGGAGUUCGUAUCUGAACAUGUGCAUCAGGCUGUUUUAGUGUUUAAGGCACGUAUGCUUCAUAUGCACUCUCAUGAGCGGUAACUAGGCAGUUACGAGGAACUUCACGUAACAGCAAUCAGCCAAGGCUUCAUUAAAAUGUAAAUUCUGCCCAAGCCUCUUGUGAGUCUUUACAGUGUUUCCAAAAUAACCCAGUGAAGGCCUUCUGGGGACUUAACGUAUGAUCUAAUCUGUGUGUCUUAUUCGAAAACCUCCCCCUCCCUCUGUGCUCGCAGAACUGGAGCACCCCGUCUGAUUUUGGGGGAAGCAGAGCACUUAGAACCGAUGCCUGGACGCCUUUCAGACCGUCCCGCUCUUGCUGUUUGUUUGCUUUUCAAGAGCAGCACAAAGCUAAUUAGACAGCUGGUGUUGUGCCAAUUUGUGUCCCUCAGUCUGUUGUUUACCCACUUUUUGCAUAAUGCAGACGUGAUUGUUGACAUUGUAUGAUGCUGCUACACGGUCACAAGUGGCCAUUUGGUUUAUUUUCCUUGGUGUAGCCUCAGUGGCAGGAAGCUUCUCUCUUGGUUUUUUGGAAGCCACAUGUGUGUCAAUUGUGUGUUUUUGUGCCCGUACUUAUCCAUUUUCAAUCCUGGUCAAAACACAAUAAAACGCUAUCCAAAAAGAUUUCUCUGCCAUUCUAGAUCAAGUGCUCAGAGAAAACUUGCUGACCGAAAUGUGGCCGCAUAAAGCUCUGAUUUAAAUUAGCCAGCUCCCCUAUUCAAACUGGAGCUCACUCCAAAUCUUGGAGCCAAUGUGGUGUAUUUGUCAGGGGAGACCAAGUGUUAAUAAGAAACAAAAUAACUUGUUUAAACGGAGUAAAAUCUUUGUUUAGACAUCACAUUCUUCUCUGAAUAAAAUUUUUAAGGUUAUUUAGAGACUAAGGGCCUGAUCUACUAAGAUCCCAAAUAGCGAACGCUAAAUUGUGUGCGCAAACUUAAAAAUUGCAUGUGCUAUUAGUGGGCGUGUUGAAGUUGAACUACUAUCAUUGUGUGCCCAAUUGAUAACAGGAGCAAAAGUGGUUGCGGACCGUCCUCUUUUAACGAGGAUUUUGCGUGUGCUAUCAGCCAUCACCAUGGAGAGUUUCUGAGAGCAGAGUGAUCGUAGAUAAAAAAUGAAGUUUGAAGCCACGGAAUUGCACCUAACGUUUUGGGGAAGCUAGCAACCGCAUAAAAGGCAAGGGAAGUUUAUUUGUGUAGCGCUGUUUAUACACAAGGCAAUUCAAAAUGCUUUACAGGUGCAAGAAAAUAUAUUUGAAAUGAAAAAAAAGAGAUUUAAACAAUUUAAAAUCACUAAGAUAAAGAGAUAAAUUUUUGCGACUGUUCUGUGUUUGACCUAAUUAUUUGUCAAAACCGUCAUUUAGUAGAAAAACUCUUUUGCACUUAUGCGUCCUUCUCCCCGUAAUGACUGCAGCCAUCUGUGCGUAACGCUGUGCCAGUUUGCACGUGCCUUUCCGACAUGCUAAAUAUAGACGCAGAACAGCGACCACAAUCGGUUUCCGGGUUUGAUAAAUCACAUUGCAGGUGCUAAAUGAUUCUAUUUGCUUCUGCCCCUACCAGAAUAUUGGGCAGUCUGAUGAUCUGCACAUUAAUGAAGGCAAACACGCUAAAUGGAUUGCACGUGCUGUUUUGCUCAUUUGUUUGACAGAUCCUCGAUGCACCUGGUUAGUACAUCAGCUUUGCACGCACUAUUUAAGUUUGCAUGUGUUUUUGCACACGCAAACCUGAGAGUUUAGGACCAACAUCUCUAGAGGUAACAUAAGCAAAUUUAAAUAACUGCACUUAUGGCAUGUCUGAGUAGACAGACCAAACUUGAGCUGUCAAACAAUUCAUAUUAAAAAUCCAGAUUAAAGGUUAAGUUCAGCGUUGACUGUCAAAUUACUGUUUUCUUCAGCCAGAAUUUAACAGUCCAUUAUUUUUGCUUCUAGGUUCAAAAUUUACAAAGAAAUACUUGUCAGUGUCUUGAUGUAAGAGUGAAAUGAUAGCAAAGACAUGAACUUUAUGAUCUUGACGUUUCAACGUGUUACUCACAUAAUUGCUGCCCUUCUACUCUGGUGUGGUCUGAAACCAGGAUUUAAAGGCAGGAUACAGCCUUCAUUUAGUAAAGUGAAGUGGUUUUCUGAUUUCCCUUUCUGUGAAGGAUAACACUAUAACAAAUUAAAAAAUAUUCAGGAGUGUAUUUUCUAAAUGUACUAAUCAGUGUCUAUUUGGUGAGCACUUAUUCUGACACAAGAUUGUCCCAGAAUGAGUAAAUAAGUGACAUCAAGUGAUCCCUGGAAAGAGCUGCCCUCUGUUUCAUACAGGUUCUGUGAAACUACUGUUCCCAGGAACAGGAGGGCAUCAAACUGGUCACAGCUGGACCAGCAAACUGGAGGAAGUCCCUUUGCCUCAAGUCCUCCACAAGUUAAACAUGAAUUACUGAUGUUGUCUUCUAUCUAGAUUGCUAUCUUGCUUGUGUUUAAUUGCUCUCAAAUAUACAUCACUUUGGACUAAAACGUCUGCUAAAUGACACUGUAACAUUCACAAGCCUGUUUCCACCAGUUUGUGCAGAAAAGGGUUCGCCUUUUAACACUGACAGCCCCACACAAAAUACAAUAAACAGGAACAUAUCAAAUUCAUCACACUUGACACAGUUGAGUUUCUCUCAACUAUAUUUUUGAAGCUGGGUAGUUUAAAAUUUACAUGUAAAGCAUAUUGAUAAAGAAUAAUUCAGUGCUCUGCUAUACAGGCUUAUUCCCAAAAGUGUCAGCAGUAUCAUUAGAGGAUUUAUGAGCUAUACAGGGGCCAGCACAUGGAUUUAAUACUUAAAAAGGAGUCUGCCUUUUAUCAGUAGCUUAAGUGUUUUGAGCUCAACAUGUUGAACCUCUGUCAAUCACUACUUUAACCUGAAAAGGCAUCUUCAAACAUCUCUUAUAGCUUUAAUCUGUAGUUUAUUUUAUGCAAAAAAACACUCAUUAGACUCACAGCGGUGCUGGAUUGAAUUUCAUAAACAUGGUUAAGAGGUGAUCAAUAAAUGCUGGAAGGAAGAAUAAUUUACUUGACUUUUUUUAGUUCUUGCAUAUUAGACCUCAAACAUGUUAUGAGUAGCUAAACAGGAGUUCUGUGUGUGUGUGUGUGUGUGUGUGUGUGUGUGUGUGUGCGUGCCUGCGUGUGUGCGUGUGUGUGUGUGUGUAUUGUCUAUUUCAGAUUUAUAAUGGCUAAUUCAGACCUGAUUGCUGCAGUAGAAUUUCAGGUCAAAAACACUGUUAUCUGAGAGACUUAAAAUCUUUCUGUUAGUGUUCGUCUGGUUCAUCCUGGAAUGACACUGUGCUUGUAUUUGACACGUCUGAGUGAUGUGACUCUUAAAGGUCCUACCUCUCCAGCCUGUCACUGAUACGAAUCAAAUCAAUGCACACUGAGGUGUAACAUCCAUCAAUCUAUCUUCUAUAGCUUCUCGUCCUGUUCAGAGACUCUGGGAACUGAGACCUUUAAGGUCUGUAAACUCUGCACAUGUCACUACAAGAACUAACACACAAAGACAAACAUCCGCAAAUGCAUGUUUACCCCCACUGCAGGAAAUUAAGUCUCUUAUUCUCGAGAGCUACAUGUGUUUGGACUGACAGGGGGAAAAGGAGCAACAUGGGAAAGCAGACAUGAAGCAACAGACACAGAGACACGAAGAGGUGCAAUAUCACAUGUUAUAAAAUUCUACGAGUACCAAAACAAAAACAAACAAGUCAUCCAAGUACAAUUGCACCUCCUAAUAAACCAUUGUUUUCUCUUUGUGUCUUUCCCAGGAGGUUCUUGAGCCAUAAAAUGUUGUUUUGAAAAUAGCUCAGUUUGAGUUCAAGAGCCAUGAGGGCCACGCUAUAAUCUAACAAUCACGUCAUUUCAUCUAAACGGUUUACAAUCUACAAUAAUAUUUUAUUUGAGAAGGGUAAACAGUCACCUUUCCUCUGACCCACCUCCUCAGUGACAAACUGGGCAGUGGCCUGAGUGUGUUCGAUUAGAGGAGGACACCACUUGGGAGUGAUUAAAGUUCGAUGAAGCAUGCAUCUGCUCACAGAUAGAGAUGUAGCUGCGGGGUGUACUCAGACAAUCUGACACAAACACUAUGCAUAGGGGCUGAAAAACAAUUUCAACUGUGUGUAUAGAGGACUCUGAUUUAUACACAUUACUCAAAAAAAAGCUCAAAUUAAAGAAAGAUGUUCAUUGUUGUUUUCAUAAAAUACAGCGACCUCUAGAGAAAAAGAUACUGAAGCUAUUUCAGCGAAGAGCAGGUUUAAUUCUAUGAAUCUGAAAGGAGGCAUUAAAUGCUUUCAGUCAUGUUGUAUAUCAGGAAGAAUCCUUGGAUGGAUCUGUAAGAGAUGAAUGAGAACUAAAAGAGCUUUUCUGAACUAAAAGAUGAGUUCAGUGGCAACCUUUGAAUAAAUGUUUUCUGUUCAUUUAUACAGCAUUUAUUUCAAGUCCUUCUUUGACUGUUUUGUGCAAUAUCUAAUUUUUUUAAGUGACAGUGGUGUGUGAAGGUUUAAUUCAGCUCAAAUUCAACAAUUUCUCAACACUGUCCUUUAAUGAAUAAAUUGUACAUUUACAUGGGAGAUCGAUUCGAUCAUUUUUUUAUUUUUUUUAUUUUUUAUUAUAAGACAGUUUCCUGUUUCCAGAUGAAGAUCCUCCAUUACAUGAGCUGUAUCCAUAGUGAUGGUUAACUCUGCUGCCUUCGUAAAGAGGGUGUAUUUCAAUCCAUCAUUUCAGCACUGUCUUUAAGGUCCCCCCAUCAUGGGUCCACUUUGUCCAGAUUGUCCUGCUCUCUAGAAGCUUCUCCACUGCUGCCAUGGUUCAAAGUUGGGACUUUUUGUAAAAGCUUUUCAAGGCAGCCUGUCAUUCUACGUGGGGAUUACUCCAGUACAAAUUUAUUUCUUAAUUUGAAAUUUUGUUUUAACUCUGUAAAAAAGCAUUAUAUCACCUCUGGUACCAAGUAUAUAUCGCCCAACCUGGUGGGAUUUGAUCAAAGCAUUACUAUUCUCUUUAAUGGAUGUGUAGUUUUAGCCAGGAUCUGCAUGGCUCACAAAAAAAAUAUAUGUGAGACGCAGCCUGAAUGGUUUAAUCUGUAAAUGUGCAAGCCAAAAAUCAAGCUGAACUGUAUUGUCCUGAACCAACCUGGACCCUAACCAAGAUUGGCUGGUUUUACUCACAUGGAACUAAAUAUUUCUAAUAAAAAAAUAGGUGAAAUAAAACAAGAUGAACCCAACCACCUGAAUC
This 17474-nucleotide long non-coding RNA is filed under the name Xyrichtys novacula (pearly razorfish). Lineage: Eukaryota; Metazoa; Chordata; Actinopteri; Labriformes; Labridae. The record is from RNAcentral.